CUUCCUUCCACAGCCACUCCAUCCUACCUCAUCCAUCUACCCUGAAAAAACUAAAAAAAGAUCUAAAAAAAAAAAAAAGAGAUCUGAAAAAAAGAGAUCUAAAAAAGAAAGAUCUAAAGAAAAAAAAGAUCCCAGAGGGAUUCUCUGGCUGCUUAUUUUUUUUACAACCUAAUCAGGUUUGCACAUUUCACUUACCUCAUUUCUGCAUUAUUUUUAUUUCAUGUACAUUUAUUUAAUUAUUGUUUUGUUAUUUUUUAUUUUUUAAUUGGUCGGCUUUAAUUAACUGUACUGUUAAUUUAUAUUGCACACAUUUCAUUUCAUUUUUUUUUUACAACCUGCCAAGAGGUUACCCACCACGAGAUGGUCACAAGCAGUGGUUUCACUGCGUUGUGCCUGAUCGCUAAGAUCCAACAAACGGAGGAUACCAUCCCCAAAGAACAACAGAUCCUUAUCAGCAGGAUCCAAGAAUUAGAGGACAACAAAACAGUCCUUGAAAACAUCUGCCAGUACUUAAAAAAAAAAAAAAGACCGGCAGACGGAGAUGGACAAAAAUGAGGCAUAAGCUGCAGGACAAGGAGAUAAAGAAAUAGGAGAGAGAAGAAAAAGCAGACCAUCCAGGACGUCAACAUCAACGUGCCUGAGACUGGACACCUGUAAGAACACCUUCCUUCACCUCCCACUCCAUCCUACCUCAUCCAUCUACCCUGAAAAAAAAAAAAAAAAGAGAUCUGAAAAAAAGAGAUCUAAAAAAGAAAGAUCUAAAGAAAAAAAAGAUCCCAGAGGGAUUCUCUGGCUGCUUAUUUUUUUUACAACCUAAUCAGAAAAGGCGAGCACCACGAGAUGGUCACAAGCAGUGGUUUCACUGAGUUGUGCCAGAUCUCUAAGAUCCAACAAACGGAGGAUACCAUCCCCAAAGAACAUCACAUCCUUAUCAGCAGGAUCCAAGAAUUAGAGGACAACAAAACAUUCCUUGAAAACAUCUGCCAGUACUUAAAAAAAAAAAAAAAAACCGGCAGACAAAGAUGGACAAAAUGAGGCAUAAGCUGCAGGACAAGGAGAUAAAGAAAUAGGAGAGAGAAGAAAAAGCAGACCAUCCAGGACGUCAACAUCAA
This is a long non-coding RNA of Gasterosteus aculeatus aculeatus (three-spined stickleback), 1112 nucleotides long. Lineage: Eukaryota; Metazoa; Chordata; Actinopteri; Perciformes; Gasterosteidae. The record is from Ensembl.